This 36-nucleotide non-coding RNA is filed under the name Methylacidimicrobium sp. AP8. The record is from RNAcentral. Lineage: Bacteria; Pseudomonadati; Verrucomicrobiota.
GUAUCCGAGGCGUUCGCGCCUCGGCCUCAUUGAAGC